RNAcentral lists this microRNA precursor (72 nucleotides) under Medicago truncatula (barrel medic). RNAcentral describes it as "MIR2629 microRNA precursor family". It matches the Rfam family "MIR2629 microRNA precursor family". Lineage: Eukaryota; Viridiplantae; Streptophyta; Magnoliopsida; Fabales; Fabaceae. The record is from Rfam by way of RNAcentral.
UACCGAGGAAAACCUCGACAGUUAACUGCAGCCGGUUUCUUCAAAAUUCGACAGUUAACUGUCGAGGGGUAU